RNAcentral lists this unclassified non-coding RNA (212 nucleotides) under Hevea brasiliensis (rubber tree). The record is from RNAcentral. Lineage: Eukaryota; Viridiplantae; Streptophyta; Magnoliopsida; Malpighiales; Euphorbiaceae.
GAGAGAAAAUGGCCGUCGCCGUAGAAAUCCCUCGCGAGUAUGGCUACGUCGUCAUCGUCCUCAUCCUUUACGCCUUCCUCAACCUGUGGAUGGGCAUCCAGGUCGGCAAGGCCCGCAAGAAGUAUAAAGUGUUCUAUCCGACUCUCUAUGCAGUCGAAUCGGAGAACAAGGAGGCCAAGCUCUUCAAUUGUGUUCAGAGAGGGCACCAGAAC